This 465-nucleotide ribosomal RNA is filed under the name uncultured soil bacterium. RNAcentral's name for it is "bacterial SSU rRNA". It matches the Rfam family "Bacterial small subunit ribosomal RNA", at positions 26 to 482 of the family's 1533-position model. The record is from RNAcentral.
AGAUUGAACGCUGGCGGCAGGCCGAACACAUGCAAGUCGAGCGGCAGCACGGGUACUUGUACCUGGUGGCGAGCGGCGGACGGGUGAGUAAUGCCUAGGAAUCUGCCUGGUAGUGGGGGAUAACGCUCGGAAACGGACGCUAAUACCGCAUACGUCCUACGGGAGAAAGCAGGGGACCUUCGGGCCUUGCGCUAUCAGAUGAGCCUAGGUCGAUUAGCUAGUUGGUGAGUAAUGGCUCACCAAGGCGACGAUCCGGUAACUGGUCUGAGAGGAUGAUCAGUCACACUGGAACUGAGACACGGUCCAGACCUCCGUACGGGAGGCUAGCAGUGGGAAUAGUGGACAAGUGGGCAAAGCUAGAUCCAGCCAGUGCCGCGUGUGUGAAGAAGGUCUUCGGAUUGAAAGCUAACGUUUAGUGGAGGAAGGCUAGUUACCAAGUACGUAUUCGUGUUUAGCGUUACCGAC